CGAAGUUAGCCGGUGCUUAUUCUGUCGGUAACGUCAAAAUUGCAGAGUAUUAAUCUACAACCCUUCCUCCCAACUUAAAGUGCUUUACAAUCCGAAGACCUUCUUCACACACGCGGCAUGGCUGGAUCAGGCUUUCGCCCAUUGUCCAAUAUUCCCCACUGCUGCCUCCCGUAGGAGUCUGGACCGUGUCUCAGUUCCAGUGUGACUGAUCAUCCUCUCAGACCAGUUACGGAUCGUCGCCUUGGUGAGCCAUUACCUCACCAACUAGCUAAUCCGACCUAGGCUCAUCCGAUAGCGCAAGGCCCGAAGGUCCCCUGCUUUCUCCCGUAGGACGUAUGCGGUAUUAGCGCCCGUUUCCGGACGUUAUCCCCCACUACCGGGCAGAUUCCUAGGCAUUACUCACCCGUCCGCCGCUGAAUCAUGGAGCAAGCUCCACUCAUCCGCUCGACUUGCAUGUGUAGGCCUCCGCCAGCGUA
Molecule: ribosomal RNA, 476 nt
Filed under: Pseudomonas sp. MF39
Lineage: Bacteria; Pseudomonadati; Pseudomonadota; Gammaproteobacteria; Pseudomonadales; Pseudomonadaceae
Description: partial 16S ribosomal RNA
Source: RNAcentral